Molecule: ribosomal RNA, 328 nt
Filed under: uncultured bacterium
Lineage: Bacteria
Description: bacterial SSU rRNA
Rfam family: Bacterial small subunit ribosomal RNA
Source: RNAcentral
GAUGAACGCUAGCGGCAGGCUUAACACAUGCAAGUCGAGGGGCAGCAUUGCUACUUGUAGCAGAUGGCGACCGGCGGACGGGUGCGUAACGCGUAUAGAACCUACCUAUAACAGGGGGAUAGGCUUUAGAAAUGAAGAUUAAUACCCCAUAAUAUUGAGUAUCGGCAUCGUUAUUUAAUUAAAGAUUUAUUGGUUAUAGAUGGCUAUGCGUCCUAUUAGUCAGAUGGUGAGGUAACGGCUCCCCAUAGCUACGAUAGGUAGGGGUUCUGAGAGGGAUUUCCCCCACACUGGUACUGAGACACGGACCAGACUCCUACGGGAGGCAGCA